Gallus gallus (chicken) is the source of this 1042-nucleotide long non-coding RNA. The record is from Ensembl. Lineage: Eukaryota; Metazoa; Chordata; Aves; Galliformes; Phasianidae.
GGAACAGUUACUGUUACCACUGUGAUUCCACUUCAUCAGUGUUUUUAAAAUUUCCUAAACUGAUCUGUGAGUUCUAAAGUAGAUAUGUGUUAGGAGCUGCAGUUCAUUAAGAGUAAAUUGAUAUGUAUAAUUCUGAUGUGUUUUCUUCUAGUUGUUGUUCUCACUGCUGAAAUUUUAGUUCCCUGUUACCAGAACAUUGCUCAAGUUUCGAGGCAGUGACGGUGGUAAGUGGCUCACUCUGUGCUGAUGAUAUUUUAGGCAUGCAGUUCCUGAUCUAUUUCAUACUUCACAAGACCCUGUAUGCAUACAUACAAUCAAACCUACUUCUGCAAAUCUUUUCUGUUUUGUUUUUUUCUUGUUGUUGUUGUUUUUCUUCUUCUUCUGCCUACAUGUUCUUACUGUUUUAUUGAGAAGAGUGGUUGUUAAUAUGCCUUGCUGCACUGUCUUUGUGAGAGCUGAUUUUUGGAGAUUUGUCUAACAGUAAAGCAACCGAUUCAACUGAACUGCCCUAUUUCAAGGGUGGAAAACAAACAGGAGUAGGCUUCAGCCCAGUGUGGAAGUCUGCGUGGACAUACACAUAACCUCCUUUAACAAAACAAUCCUGAGGAGGUGCAGAUGUAGCUCUCUAGGCACACUUGGCUAAGCUGUGCCUUGCUGCUACACUAUUUCAUGUAUUAAUAGCACACAAAACUGUUUCUCUUUAACCAAACAUUUCCUGAAUAUAGUCAAGGUGUUACUAGUCCUAACUGUUCUGUCAAGACAACCAAGGCUGGAGUCAUAUGCCUUUUGUUAUGUUAUCUCUGCCAUAGUUAAACUCAUCAGCUCAUUGUCUCAUCAAGGAUAAGAUCACAAGGGAUCACUGGGUCAUGCAGUUUAAACAGUACAUCACAGACCAUCACUUUUCUCUCAUUUGCUGCUGUGCUCUGUCUUCUAUUCAGCUAAGGAGGUAUCCUGUUGUUCUUCAGAUGAGAGAUUUCACCAUUUUCCUAUGGUAGUUUGAUCUCUGUUUAUCUACCACCAAAUUUUUCCUUUGUUAUUUUCU